CACGUAGGGCGCGAGCGUUGUCCGGAAUUAUUGGGCGUAAAGAGCUCGUAGGCGGCCUGUUGCGUCCGCUGUGAAAGCCCGGGGCUUAACCCCGGGUCGGCAGUGGAUACGGGCAGGCUAGAGGUAGGUAGGGGAGAAUGGAAUUCCCGGUGUAGCGGUGAAAUGCGCAGAUAUCGGGAGGAACACCGGUUGCGAAGGCGGUUCUCUGGGCCUUACCUGACGCUGAGGAGCGAAAGCGUGGGGAGCGAACAGG
Molecule: ribosomal RNA, 253 nt
Filed under: uncultured bacterium
Lineage: Bacteria
Description: partial 16S ribosomal RNA
Rfam family: Bacterial small subunit ribosomal RNA
Source: RNAcentral